CCUACGGGAGGCAGCAGUGAGGAAUAUUGGUCAAUGGUCGGGAGACUGAACCAGCCAAGCCGCGUGAGGGAUGAAGGUACAGAGUAUCGUAAACCUCUUUUGUCAGGGAACAAAGGCGGGGACGUGUCCCCUGCUGCGUGUACCUGACGAACAAGCAUCGGCUAACUCCGUGCCAGCAGCCGCGGUAAUACGGAGGAUGCGAGCGUUAUCCGGAUUUAUUGGGUUUAAAGGGUGCGCAGGCGGUCUGUUAAGUCAGCUGUCAAAGCCCGGGGCUCAACCCCGGCCCGGCCGUUGAACCUGGCAGUCUCGAGUUGGGGAGAAGGAGGCGGAAUGCGCGGUGUAGCGGUGAAAUGCAUAGAUAUCGCGAAGAACUCCGAUUGCGAAGGCAGCAUGCCGGAUCCACACUGACGCUGAGGCACGAAAGCGUGGGUAUCGAACAGGAUUAGAUACCCGAGUAGUC
This 460-nucleotide ribosomal RNA is filed under the name uncultured bacterium. RNAcentral's name for it is "partial 16S ribosomal RNA". It matches the Rfam family "Bacterial small subunit ribosomal RNA", at positions 338 to 795 of the family's 1533-position model. The record is from RNAcentral.